Molecule: RNA transcript, 1563 nt
Organism: Alosa alosa (allis shad)
Lineage: Eukaryota; Metazoa; Chordata; Actinopteri; Clupeiformes; Clupeidae
Gene name: consortin-like
Exons: 9
Source: RefSeq, a predicted model, not a curated record
AGGAAAUGAUGCAAGUCUUGCGCGACAGACACUGACAGACACACCGAACUAGUCAUAUUUUAGACGCUGAUCUUCUGGAACGAUUUCAGCAAUGCCAAGUAAGUAAGGAAUGAAGCUGUUGUGGAAGGAAACGAAGCCAGAGAAAUUAGGGCCAGAGUGAUUCAUGAGGGAGGUGGCGACCCAGAUAUUUAUCAUGCACCGAAGAUCAAAAACAACAAGUCUGAAAAGAUCGACACUAGCACAGUUUCAAAGGAUCAGAAGAGUUCCUCUCCAACACUACGCAACAUAGGCAAAACACUUAAUGUGUUUACAAUAGUUUGCCUUGCACUGCUUGACUUUUAAUGUACUGUUUACGACUAUUUAAAAAAAAAAAAAAAAGAGAGAACACAUCUGUCUGCGCAUGCGUUUGGCGUGUGCAGAAAUACUUCCUCUUCCUGUUUAGAACCUCCAUUCGAAACUGAGUUUCAGAAAAGACUGCAGUAAUGCCAAUUACAAACAAAGCAGUUGUGGAAGCCAAAGAAGCCAAAGAAAUUAGGGCUGGAUUAACUCGUAGAGGAUUUGGCGACACAAAUAUUCAUCAUGAACCGAAGGUCAAAGUCCAGAAGUGUGAAAAGAUCGACGCUCAAAUAGUUGCAGACGACUCUUGGUUGCCCCUCCGUCUCCUGUGUCUGGUUGCCUUGGGAUUCGGUGUUGUUGGGACGACAAUCUACUGCAUGGUGGGUGACCCCAAGUCCCCCAUGUGCACGGCAUUCUUCAACAACAUAAAGGUGUAUAUGGCACAGGUGCUGAACUUUAGUAAUGUGACUUCUCAAGGUGAUGAGAAGUUGUAACUUAUGAAUGUCUUUACCGCUGUCCGUCCUAAUUGCGAUUAAACAUUUAUUAAAACCAAAGUGCUCUGUUGUGGCACACAGCAUGGGAUACAGCUACAUGAAAUGUCAUGCAUUUGCACUAUUCUUAUUGGCUGCAGGCUUACUCAGGGGCCUGGUUGGGGUGCCUCUAGGUGUAAGCCACAACAAUUAACAGCCUCCACUUUUAUUUGAUAGGGAUAUGUUUAGAAAUCUGGGACAAUAACCGAGGGAAAUCUGGUACCAGCCAACUACAGUAUCUUGCAAAGCCAUUGAUGCCUGUAGAUCUAAAAAUCAAAGAGUGUAUUUGCAUCUCAUUUUAACAUCUCAUUUUUCACCUCUCAUUUUGCAUUUUGUUUUUAAAAAGGGAUUGGUGUUCUAAUAACAACUUCAGCAGGACUCUGUUAAUUCCUCCUGCCUUGGUGAGCAACAGAGUUCUCUGUGCAUGUAUGCAGGCUGUUAUUUACUAACCAAUAGAUUGCAACUGCAACCUUUGAAAGAAUCCAAUAUCAUCGGGAAGAGACUCUGAGGCUGUAUGAUAUAUAAUUUAUGUCAUAUGCUAAUUACAAUGAUUACCUUUCACUUAUAACUUAAAAUUGCCUCCGUGACAUUACAGAGAUGACAGAAAAAUAAAACGUGUUUGAUAUUUUAUAUUGAUAUUUGUGUGAUUGUCAAAGAAAAACAUUAUGAAAUACAAAUAAAAAUAAAAGUACCUCAA